CCAAAGGCUCUUUUCAGAGCCACCUGGCUUGGCCAGAAAAGACCUGU
Non-coding RNA from Felis catus (domestic cat), 47 nucleotides. The record is from Rfam. Lineage: Eukaryota; Metazoa; Chordata; Mammalia; Carnivora; Felidae.